Molecule: ribosomal RNA, 234 nt
Filed under: Triticum aestivum (bread wheat)
Lineage: Eukaryota; Viridiplantae; Streptophyta; Magnoliopsida; Poales; Poaceae
Description: partial small subunit ribosomal RNA
Source: RNAcentral
AUGCAGGACAGAGGACAGUCAGCGGAAGCGGCGGCGGCAAUCUUCGAUGACUGCUAUCACUAUGCUUGUGAUUUUAUGAUGACUAAAUUCGAACAUUGUAAUAGAGAGGAAAAUAAAGUAGCACAUGAACUUUCUAGAUUAGCUAGAUUUUUUUCAACUUCGGAUUGGUUUGAGGAUCCUAUGAGUGAAAUUGUAACGUUUCUCACAAACGAUGUAUUGGUUAUUGCUAAUUAA